UCUUCAUUUUCCAUACUCUCCUCUCACCGGUCAGAGAGGCGAGAGAGUGUGCAAAAUGAAGAGA
This 64-nucleotide microRNA precursor is filed under the name Pristionchus pacificus. RNAcentral describes it as "mir-8364 microRNA precursor family". It matches the Rfam family "mir-8364 microRNA precursor family". The record is from Rfam by way of RNAcentral. Lineage: Eukaryota; Metazoa; Nematoda; Chromadorea; Rhabditida; Neodiplogasteridae.